AAUGGGAUAGCUUGGUCAUAUGGUGGCUCCAUUCCUAAUUUUUUGAGGAAUCUCCAUACUGCUUUCCAGAUUGGUUGUACUAAUUUGCAGUCCCACCAACAAU
This 103-nucleotide microRNA precursor is filed under the name Marmota monax (woodchuck). The record is from RNAcentral. Lineage: Eukaryota; Metazoa; Chordata; Mammalia; Rodentia; Sciuridae.